This 159-nucleotide ribosomal RNA is filed under the name Nigrospora oryzae. RNAcentral's name for it is "partial large subunit ribosomal RNA". It matches the Rfam family "Eukaryotic large subunit ribosomal RNA", at positions 99 to 258 of the family's 3401-position model. Lineage: Eukaryota; Fungi; Ascomycota; Sordariomycetes; Amphisphaeriales; Apiosporaceae. The record is from RNAcentral.
CGGUAACAGCUCAAAUUUGAAAGCUAGCUCUUUUAGGGUUCGCAUUGUAAUUUGUAGAGGAUGCUUUUGGUGCGGUGCCUUCCGAGUUCCCUGGAACGGGACGCCUUAGAGGGUGAGAGCCCCGUACGGUUGGACGCCUAGCCUCUGUAAAGCUCCUUC